GAUGAACGCUAGCGGCAGGCUUAAUACAUGCAAGUCGAGGGGCAGCACGGUUAGCAAUAACUGGUGGCGACCGGCGCACGGGUGCGUAACACGUAUACAAUCUACCUUAAACAGGGGGAUAGCCUUUCGAAAGAGAGAUUAAUACCCCGUAAUAAAUUGAACGGCAUCGUUUGAUUUUGAAAGCUCCGGCGGUUUGAGAUGAGUAUGCGUCUGAUUAGCUAGUUGGUGAGGUAACGGCUCACCAAGGCGACGAUCAGUAGGGGAUCUGAGAGGACUAACCCCCACACUGGUACUGAGACACGGACCAGACUCCUACGGGAGGCAGCAGUAAGGAAUAUUGGUCAAUGGAGGCAACCCUGAACCAGCCAUGGCCGCGUGCAGGAUGAC
RNAcentral lists this ribosomal RNA (387 nucleotides) under uncultured bacterium. RNAcentral's name for it is "bacterial SSU rRNA". It matches the Rfam family "Bacterial small subunit ribosomal RNA", at positions 28 to 412 of the family's 1533-position model. The record is from RNAcentral.